GACGAACGCUGGCGGCGUGCUUAACACAUGCAAGUCGAACGGAAAGGCCCUGCUUUUGUGGGGUGCUCGAGUGGCGAACGGGUGAGUAACGCGUGAGUAACCUGCCCUUGACUUUGGGAUAACUUCAGGAAACUGGGGCUAAUACCGGAUAGGAGCUCCUGCUGCAUGGGGGGGGUUGGAAAGUUUCGGCGGUUGGGGAUGGACUCGCGGCUUAUCAGCUUGUUGGGGGGGGAGUGGCUUACCAAGGCUUUGACGGGUAGCCGGCCUGGGAGGGUGACCGGCCACGUUGGGCCUGAGGUCCGGCCCGGCCUCCUACGGGCGGCAGCAGUGGGGAAUAUUGCACAAUGGGCGGAGGCCUGAUGCAGCAACGCCGCGUGCGGGAUGACGGCCUUCGGGUUGUAAACCGCUUUCGCCUGUGCCGAAGCGUGAGUGACGGUAAUGGGUAAAGAAGCACCGGCUAACUACGUG
Molecule: ribosomal RNA, 468 nt
Filed under: uncultured bacterium
Lineage: Bacteria
Description: partial 16S ribosomal RNA
Rfam family: Bacterial small subunit ribosomal RNA
Source: RNAcentral